GACGAACGCUGGCGGCGUGCCUAAUACAUGCAAGUAGGACGCAGUUGCGAACGGGUGAGUAACGCGUAGGUAACUGCCUCUUUGAGGGGGAUAACUAUUGUAGACGCUAGCUAAUACCGCAUCCUCGUAGAUGGACUUGCUUUGUAUUAGCUAGUAGGUAGGGUAGUGGCCUACCUAGGCGACGAUACAUAGCCGACCUGAGAGGUGGAGCGGCCACACUGGGACUGAGACACGGCCCAGACUCCUACGGGAGGCAGCAGUAGGGAAUCUUCGGGAAUGGGUGGAACCCUGACCGAGCAACGCCGCGGGAGGGAAGAAGGUCUUCGGAUCGUAAAGCUCUGUUGUUAAGGAAGCGGUACGUAACCAGAAAGGGACGGCUAACUACGUGCCAGCAGCCGCGGUAAUAC
RNAcentral lists this ribosomal RNA (407 nucleotides) under uncultured bacterium. Its description in RNAcentral is "partial 16S ribosomal RNA". It matches the Rfam family "Bacterial small subunit ribosomal RNA", at positions 28 to 526 of the family's 1533-position model. The record is from RNAcentral.